GAGAAGAAAAAGUGACUCGGGAAGUCUGUCGGCGGGUAACCAUGGCAACUCCUCAACCAUGACAGGUUGCCUGAAUGAGUGUAUAAAAUGGUCGAGUUUACGGGCAAGGAGGCAGUGAGUGAGAAAGGAAGCAACGAACAACAUCGAGAUUAGCCAUUUAGGGAUAAAAGACAGAGUAUUUGGAGGACAUCUAAACAAUAGACCGACCUUCUCUUUUUAUGCAGUGUAGUGGAAAAGCAAGACGAACAACAGUAAUAUAAUAGUCGAGCAAAACUGCAAACCGCCACCCGUCGCCUGUCUAUCGCAUACACACUUUUAAGCCUACAGUCCACAAUGAACACGCUAUCGCAAUACCUUCUUCUCAUCUGCUCGCUACUGGUUUUCAUCCAGAGCUACGCUCUCCCAACAUACGACAAACAGAACGUCGACGAACUCCAAGGCGACAAUGACAUCGAUGAACAACAGUUAGAAAUGUGGGACGCGAUGCAGGGGGGCGACAACGAUGACGUCUUCUCCCGAUUAACGAGGGGUGGAGAAGCAUUCAGCCGUGACCGACGUCGCGUUUGCGUCAGCGACUGCAGUUUCUGCCAUUCUUUCUUCCCAACCUACAAGCUCGGAAACUGCUUCCACGGGUGCAGGAAAGGAUUCCAUGAUCUGGGUUGCAAGCAGUUCCGCUAUUAAGCUCCCGCAAACUAUGUACAUUUAGGUUGAUCCUUGAGACACUUGUAACGUUCCUUUUCAGUUCGUCUAGUAUACAGUCCUUUCCUUGGCGUCCCGUGUAGCGAUGAAAGUAGCUAGUCCCUCGCAAAUGGCCCUACAAACUUGACAUAAAAUGACAUCUCUACCAAACAUAACAUGGCGUAUCAACGGAUCCGAGCCUGUUUGUAUUGAUAUCCAGCAGUUUAGAAAGAGAACAUCCACAAACGUUGGAAAAUCGCUAUUUUUCUGUACAUAAUGUAUUCUACAAAUAACUGUUUUCGCUCUUGCAUUGCCCAACAAAAAAAUUACGUGUGGUUUUAUGAGACAGAUUGAUUUUCGUCAAAUCAUGUGCUAUUUAUGUGCUGUAAAGUUGCCAUUCACAAGUUCUCUUAUCUCAUCUACAACGGUCUGUCUGGUGGACACUUCUACUUAGUAAACUAUGAAGUUGUCUAUAUUGUGUAAGUGCGAAUGUAUCUGUUAUAUAUGUUACCCAGAUAACGUUAACGUUAAAAGGGUUACCAUCGUUACUUUGCAUUUAUGUAUACAUGAUUUAAUAAAAUUCCACAAAAUCUCCAUACUGAAGCAUUUUAUUGGCCAGAAUUGUUAAAUCAAUUGAUAAUAAUAAUUAUUGUUAUUAUUAUUAUUGUUACUGCUACUAUUAUUAUUAUUUUCAUUUUGUAAUUAGUAUUGUUGUUGUUGUUGUUAGAUAGGCUGACUCGUCUUAAUUCAUAGACUUACAAUUCCCAAACGGCGCAACAUCAAUGUUGACAUUAGUAUUAUUUGUGCUCAUUUUAAAUCCUGUUUACAGUUAUUAAAAGAAUCAUUGCUCAUUCAAACAAGAAAAGUAAAAUAAUGUGAAAACACUGAUAUCCCCAAAUGUUUACAGAUGUCAAUGAUUUUUUUAAUAGUCUUUGCCAAAUUUCAUAAAGUAUUUGUAGUACGUAUUAAGAUUAUGAAAUGGUAGUAUAGAUGAAUAUUACCACAAUAAUUAGCAUUAUUAUGGUCUAUAUGCUUUAUAUUUGUAUAUGAUGUAUCAUAAUCAUUAUAUGUUGAUUUUAUUUAUUGAAUUCUUCAAUACCAAAUAAAGGGUUCAUAUUUUCAGCUCCCA
This is a long non-coding RNA of Strongylocentrotus purpuratus (purple sea urchin), 1807 nucleotides long. RefSeq lists it as uncharacterized. The transcript is spliced from 2 exons. The record is from RefSeq and is a predicted model, not a curated record. Lineage: Eukaryota; Metazoa; Echinodermata; Echinoidea; Camarodonta; Strongylocentrotidae.